Molecule: RNase P RNA, 356 nt
Filed under: uncultured Akkermansia sp.
Lineage: Bacteria; Pseudomonadati; Verrucomicrobiota; Verrucomicrobiia; Verrucomicrobiales; Akkermansiaceae
Description: Bacterial RNase P class A
Rfam family: Bacterial RNase P class A
About the family: Ribonuclease P (RNase P) is a ubiquitous endoribonuclease, found in archaea, bacteria and eukarya as well as chloroplasts and mitochondria. Its best characterised activity is the generation of mature 5'-ends of tRNAs by cleaving the 5'-leader elements of precursor-tRNAs.
Source: RNAcentral
UCGGGCGGUCGCUGCACGUUCGCGUGUAGAGGAAAGUCCGGACAUCACAAGGCAGCGUGUCCUGUGAAAGCAGGAGCGGGUCGGCGUCAAGGCCGAUCUGACGGAAAGUGCCACAGAAAACAAACCGCCCGCAAGGGUAAGGGUGAAAAGGUGGGGUAAGAGCCCACCGCUCCGAAGGUAACGACGGAGGCACGGAAAACCCCGCGCGAUGCAAGACAAACAGGGGGAGGGUCGCCUGCCCGCCUAAAGUCCCCCGGGUAUUAGUUGCACCCCGCUAUAAACGCGGGGUACGGCGGCAACGCCGUAAGAAAAAUGACUGCACAGCCCGCAAGGGCGGACAGAAUCCGGCUUACAGA